Molecule: transfer RNA, 90 nt
Filed under: Eschrichtius robustus (grey whale)
Lineage: Eukaryota; Metazoa; Chordata; Mammalia; Artiodactyla; Eschrichtiidae
Rfam family: tRNA
About the family: Transfer RNA (tRNA) molecules are approximately 80 nucleotides in length. Their secondary structure includes four short double-helical elements and three loops (D, anti-codon, and T loops). Further hydrogen bonds mediate the characteristic L-shaped molecular structure. tRNAs have two regions of fundamental functional importance: the anti-codon, which is responsible for specific mRNA codon recognition, and the 3' end, to which the tRNAs corresponding amino acid is attached (by aminoacyl-tRNA synthetases). tRNAs cope with the degeneracy of the genetic code in two manners: having more than one tRNA (with a specific anti-codon) for a particular amino acid; and 'wobble' base-pairing, i.e. permitting non-standard base-pairing at the 3rd anti-codon position.
Source: Rfam by way of RNAcentral
GGCUCUGUGGCGCAAUGGAUAGCGCAUUGGACUUCUAGUGUGGAAGCUGAAGGCAUUCAAAGGUUGCGGGUUCGAGUCCCGCCAGAGUCG